This 254-nucleotide ribosomal RNA is filed under the name uncultured bacterium. RNAcentral describes it as "partial 16S ribosomal RNA". It matches the Rfam family "Bacterial small subunit ribosomal RNA", at positions 524 to 776 of the family's 1533-position model. The record is from RNAcentral.
UACGGAGGGAGCUAGCGUUAUUCGGAAUUACUGGGCGUAAAGCGCACGUAGGCGGCUUUGCAAGUUAGAGGUGAAAGCCUGGAGCUCAACUCCAGAACUGCCUUUAAAACUGCAUCGCUUGAAUCCAGGAGAGGUGAGUGGAAUUCCGAGUGUAGAGGUGAAAUUCGUAGAUAUUCGGAAGAACACCAGUGGCGAAGGCGGCUCACUGGACUGGUAUUGACGCUGAGGUGCGGAAAGCGUGGGGAGCAAACAGG